GAUUUCUGGCUUGAAACAUUUUGCCGGCCACGGUUUCGUGUGUUAGUGCUUGAUGUUCUGGCCAUCCUUCCAAUUGCUAUUCACCUUUCUUCAUUGAUUGGUGAGUGGUAUUGGAUCUUUUACUUUGAAAAAAUUAGAGUGUUUCAAGCAGGCGACUCGCUGUGAAUACAUUAGCAUGGAAUAAUAACUUAGGACUUCGGUUCUAUUUUGUUGGUUUCUAGGACUGAAGUAAUGAUUGAUAGGGAUAGUUGGGGGUGCUAGUAUUCAGUGGCCAGAGGUGAAAUUCUCGGAUUCACUGAAGACUAACUUAUGCGAAAGCAUU
RNAcentral lists this ribosomal RNA (322 nucleotides) under Sandonidae sp. RNAcentral describes it as "SSU rRNA". It matches the Rfam family "Eukaryotic small subunit ribosomal RNA", at positions 634 to 955 of the family's 1831-position model. The record is from RNAcentral. Lineage: Eukaryota; Cercozoa; Glissomonadida; Sandonidae.